GACGAACGCUGGCGGCGCGCCUAACACAUGCAAGUCGAACGAGAGAGAGGGAGCUUGCUUCCUCAAUCGAGUGGCGAACGGGUGAGUAACGCGUGAGGAACCUGCCUCAAAGAGGGGGACAACAGUUGGAAACGACUGCUAAUACCGCAUAAGCCCACGGGUCGGCAUCGACCAGAGGGAAAAGGAGCAAUCCGCUUUGAGAUGGCCUUGCGUCCGAUUAGCUAGUUGGUGAGGUAAUGGCCCACCAAGGCGACGAUCGGUAGCCGGACUGAGAGGUUGAACGGCCACAUUGGGACUGAGACACGGCCCAGACUCCUACGGGAGGCAGCAGUGGGGAAUAUUGCACAAUGGGGGAAACCCUGAUGCAGCGACGCCGCGUGGAGGAAGAAGGUCUUCGGAUUGUAAACUCCUGUUGUUGAGGAAGAUAAUGACGGUACUCAACAAGGAAGUGACGGCUAA
RNAcentral lists this ribosomal RNA (459 nucleotides) under uncultured bacterium. RNAcentral describes it as "bacterial SSU rRNA". It matches the Rfam family "Bacterial small subunit ribosomal RNA", at positions 28 to 500 of the family's 1533-position model. The record is from RNAcentral.